This 13322-nucleotide long non-coding RNA is filed under the name Lathyrus oleraceus (garden pea). RNAcentral describes it as "Pisum sativum (pea) long non-coding RNA (PSAT_LNC021823)". The record is from RNAcentral. Lineage: Eukaryota; Viridiplantae; Streptophyta; Magnoliopsida; Fabales; Fabaceae.
CAUCACCAUCGCGGUGUUAUUUGCAUUUACCUAGAGUACCGAAGAGCUUUUCGGAGGUUUGCUUUCUUGCUUCCCUAACCUUUUCAAAAUAACUUGUUUGAGUGUGUGAUUCCCUAUGUUUGUGUGUGUGUGACAUUUCUUUGGAUUUGAUUGUAUUGGUCUCUGUCAUACCGACACCUCUGGAAAAAAUGUAUGUCUGUAUCAGUGUCUGUCAAUGUCGGACUCCGACACGACACUUGUGAUUAUGUUCAAUUUAUUUAUUUUUUUCAAAUUUAAUUUACCGGUGUCCACGUGUCUGUGUCGGAAUCGUGUCCGGAGUCUGUCCUUCAUAGGUCUUAGUUAUACACUUUCUUAUGAAAAAAUAUGGAUUACAAAUGAAAUCACCCAAAUCCCUUCUUUUAAUAUUACAAAUAUACACACACAAGUUCUUGAAUUAGAAUUGAAUAAACACCACAAGAAGUUGUUAAGUAUGCUGCAACUAACUCAUCCUGCAAAUAUCAUAGCAAAUUUAAAUAUCCAGUGUAUUAUUUAUAGAAAAGCAUCCACACAAAAACCAACAAUAAACAACACCUCAAAUGACACAAAGAAAACAGAAGCAUUUGUCAAUUAAUAGAGUACACAUUCCUUGAUUAUAUAGUAGAUGAUUCAAUUCAAGGAAAUAAUUUAUUAAGCACACCAAAGAAGGAAUGAAGAGACAAACUGCAUCUUCAUGUGAGCUGCAACAUGGACAAUAUGAACCUGUUCGCAUGAACACAGAACUAUCAAAAUCUAGUAUGACACAAAUAACACAAGAGAACCAUAAAAUCGUUAGAGGAAAGAGUACCUUAAUGUUUUAGAUAUUGAGUUGAGUAGGAAUCGGGCGCAACUCAUAAUCAUGAUAUCUUGAUCCUACUUUCUGACGAAUCAGUACAAGGGGAAUAUGAUUAAUAAUCCAAUGGCAUGGUCCACCUUUAUCUGGAUCAAUGCUAUCAACUAGUUCAGCUGGCAUGUCAAUCAAUUCAAGGAUUUGAAGGUUUUUCAAGUUUUGGAGGUCUUGGGGUACCACCUUCAAUUGAGGGUUGUUGUUAAAUCUGAAGUCUUCAAGCCCAAGUAAAGCUUCUUUGUCUAUUGAUACAGAUUUUAGUCUAUUUAAUCUAGUGAGAUCCAAUUCUAUCAGCUUAUAAAACCCUCCUUUCUGAAAAUGCAAUCUUUCACCAGAAAAGGAAUCAUCCCACAAAUUCAACCUCAACAAAUUAGGCAAAAUCUUGAAAGACUCUAGUGGAUCAUCUUCGAAGUUAGAUAAGCCAAGUCUUAGCUUCACAAGGUACUUGAGAUUUGGAAUCCAUUUAGGCAACUUUGUUAAUCUACUUUUCAAGUUAAGCACUUUAAGAUUAGGUGGAUUUGAUACAAAAUCCAAGUCAAUGAUCUCCUCCUCAGUUAUAGCAGUAAUAUUAAGAGAUUCAAGGUGCUUCAUCUCUUGUAUUGUAGCACAUAAUACAUUUCCAUAUUCUCGCCGGACACGUCUUAUGCCUAACUUCCUUAACUGUUUCAACUUUUUGAGCUCUUGGAUAAGGUCUAUUCCACCAUGAUCUGCUUCCAGAAAGUAAAGUUUUUCUAAAGAUAUCAUACACCCAAUACCCUCUUGCAUUCGCACACCAGUUGUGAAGUUCAAUAUAGAAUAAGAGCCUUCAUAUUUUCUAUAAUAAACUGGAAGAAGCGUUAGCUUGGUGAGCCUGUUUAUCUCUUUUGGUAACUCACGCACAUGAGAUUGCCUUAAAUCCAAGGUUUCUAAGUUGACUAAAUUACCGAUAGAUUUUGGAAGAGCGGUAACUUUUGUAAAACUCAGGUUCAAGUACCUUAGAUGGAAAAGAUUCCCCAAGUUAUCAGGAAUAGAUUUCAACAAAGAAUUCUGAAAAUCAAGCACUUUCAAAAGCUUGAACUUGGCAGAUAAUCCAUGUAUGAAAUGUUUAGGAAAUUCACCUUUGUCGAAAACAUAUAUAGCACGAAUUCCUGAGCUACUAGUGUUUCUCAAGUCAUUGUUGGAGAUAGCUGCUAUAGAUAAGCGUCUAGUUAUUCCAAGAGUGACUUGUUCAUCAUCUUUAUGGCACAAAUGACAAAAACUUAAAUCUUUUAUUUUUCUAAUGAUCACUUCACGCAACAAAUCAUGAACUUGGCAACUUUUGACUCUCCCAUUUAAGCCAACUUUGAAAACAUUAACCAAACUUCUUUGUAUCAACUCUGUCAGGUACUCUUCAGCAACUUCCUCCAAGGUUCUUCUAUCCUCAUGCCUAACAAACCCUUCAGCCAUCCAUUGCCUAGCAAGUCUCUUCCUAUAGAUUGCAUAGUCCUCGGGAUAUAUACCAAAAUAUAGCAUGCAUGAUUUCAAAUGGUAAGGCAAGUCAUCAUAACUAAGAGAUAAAAUCUUGACUAGACUAGUCAAAUGCACAUUGCGAUCUAACUCCAUUCUCAGAUUUUGACUCACCUUUUCCCACUCAAAAAUGGUUUUGGCUUUUGUUGACAAAAGACCGCCGAUGGCCACAAUUGCUAGUGGUAGCCCUCCACAUUUUUGAACAAUUUCUUUGGAUACAUCCUCAAGUUCUGUUGGACACUGCCCUCUAAAUGCCUUGUUGCAAAAUAGUUCCCAUGCUUUGUUUGGAGGCAAAGGUUGUAGCUUGUGAACAUGAACAGGAAAUGAUUUCUUAAAAUAUUCAGCUACAUGCAUCAUUCUAGUGGUCACAAUGAUUCUACUUCCUUUGUUAUUACUAAUUAAGGCAUGUUCAAUCUCAUCAGAAAAGUUUUCUUUCCAAACAUCAUCAAAAAACACUAAGUACCUCUUUGACUCAAGGUAUUGUCUCACAUGAGUAAUCAACGUUUCAUCAUCCAUCUUUAGCAGACCCUUUGGGAUAGGCUCAUUGUUGUCCUUGCAAAAUUUCUUUACCAUAUCUGUCAACAACUCUCUGAUAGUGUAUGAUUGAGAAACUGUGAUGAAAGAUCGACAAUCAAAGUUCCUUUUCACUAGCUGGUUAUCAAAAACAUGCUUAGCGAGAGUGGUUUUCCCGAGUCCUCCCAUGCCAACCACAGAAACCAACAUGAGCUCAUUGUUUCCCCCCACCAAGCAACUAACCAAUUCAUCUCGCGGGAUCUCAAACCCUACAACUUGAGUCUCUUCAAUGAAAUAAGGAGCCAUUCGAGGGUCACCAAUUCUAGGAGCUUUAGUCCCUCUAUAGCUACUUUCGGAUCCACUUUCAGACCGAAACUCAAACCUCGUACUUCUUUCUUUGAUUUUACCAAGCGAUAACAUGAUGUCUUGAAUCUCAGAAGCAAUCUGGUGGUGUGGAUUCAUGGUUUUGAUCAAACCUGGAAUCAUUUGGAGUACAGAUCUGAAUCUAGAAUGGUUGACCCUUUGUGCCUCAUACAUGUUAUACUCAUCAAUGACAUCUUCUAUUCGAAAAGAUGCUUCUCUCAGCUGCUUCACCCAUGUUUUGACUCCAUUGGAUCCUCCUCCUCCUCCUCCUCCACCAUCAUCAUCAGCCUUUGUGUCUGCAUCCUUGAGGAAGGCUUGGAUGCUCUCAAGUUCAUCUUUGAUGUCAAUGAAUUCUCUUUCAACUCCUGUCACCGAAGUUCUUUCUUCUUUUACAAAUUGGCAGAGUUCUUCCAAAACAAAUGACACUACAGUUUCUGCCAUUUCAUUUCAACGUUUCCAUCAAUCAGGAUAGUCCUUGCAAGGAAUUUCUUUUGGCAAUCCAAGCAAGUUCAAGUGAAGUGCCUUGUUUUGGUGCUUAGUUUAUCAGUAAAGUAGCUUUGAUUCGUGGAAUAACUUUGACUAAUGAAUAACUUAUCUGUAACAUAGUUUUCUACAAGACAAUAAUUUUCUAUUGUUGUCCGGGGACAAAUACAUUUCUUUUCAAUUUGUUGGUUCUAUAUUAAUUUAUUUUUAAUAUCCUGCUUGCUGAAAGAGUGGGUGUAGUAGGUAGUUCUGAUUGUUUAAUCUUUGAAGUUUGUAUUUUAUAUACUGCUUUCAGAAAGAGUGGGUGCAAUAGGUAGUUCUGAUUUCUGAAUGUUUAAUGUUUAAUGGCAGAAGCCUAUAAUAUUUUCUUAAAAACAUAUGAAUUAUAACAUGGAAACUUUCAACAAAUUUUUUAUUCCCAAGUCAUUGGUUUAUGUGUUGUCUUGCAGUAAGGGUGUUGUAUGCAAUGUCUUAUAGACUAAUCAACAAAAAUAAGUUACCAAACAAAAAUAUUAUCUUACAAAUUAAUCAAAGGGAGUAAUAAUAUUGUCCUAUAAAUUAAUUAACCUGUUUUAAUUAUGAUGUUAAUAUACUUUGGAUUCAUUCGCUUCUUUGAAUUAAGUUUUCAUCUUGAUUUAAUUUCAAGGUUUUAAUUUGUCAUUCUCACACUUAUAACUGACAACCCCAUAUUUCAUAACUGUCUCUAUUAAAAAUUUAAAACACAUUUUCGUAUUUGGUAAACAAAUCAAAAUUUUCGGUACAAACUAAAUUUUUAAUAGACUAUUCAUAAUUUUCGAGAUAUCAGAAUUUUUGAAAUUUAUAUGAAUAUGCAAUAUUAUCGAAAAUGUAUAAAAAUAUCAUGUUAUACAGAAAAUUUCAACCAAAGUGAAAUUUAUGAUAGUUCAGAUUCAAUAAUUUUUGUAGCACUAUCGGAAAUAUUGAAAUUCUUGAUAGUGUAAAAAAAAAUUUUAAUUUUUAAAAAUUUCGGUAUUCUUCAAAUUUUUUUCAAAAAUAUUAAUUUUUUAUUGGAAAUUUCGAUAAAAAAUGGAAUAUUCGAAAAUUUCUUAUAUAUAAUGCAAAUUCCGAUAAAAGUAGAUAAAUUUAAAAAAAAUUGGUUUUAAAAAAAAGUAUAAUGAUAAAAAUCUUGUAAAUAUGAGAAUGUUAGCAAGUGCGGUGGUGGCAAAUUAAAUUCUCCUUAAUUUGUUAGUUGUUUUGUUUGUUCGGAAUAUGGUUGUUUAUUUUUGUUUGAACUCUUGAAUUCUUGUCAUUCUAGUUCUUUGUAUUUAAUUUUCACAUUGAUUUAUUAGUUGUUUUGUUUGUUGAGGCUAUAAUGGCAUGUUUUGUAUGAACUCGUGCGUUGUUGUCAUUCUAGACAUGAUAGAAUAUUUUAAUUUAAUUUUUUUAGUUAAAAAACUUUUUUCACGAAGAUCCGACAAAAGUAAGAAUACCAACUCAAUGUAACAAAUAAUUUGUAAUGUUAGAAGGUUAUAAUUCGAUGUUCUGUCGAAAGCUAGUAUUCGACUAUGUUAAAGUAGCUAGUCGAGAUGUAAGAAUCAGUUGUACUCGACUAUGUCGAAUACAAUAUAUAAUUGUUAUGUCGAAAUGUAACAUGUAGUUUUGUAUGUUGUAUUUUGUAUGUUUUGGACAUAGACUUUAGUUGCCUAUAUAAAUGACAUUGUAUGAUGAAAAUAUAACAACUUCACUCAAUAUAAAUCCUAAUUUUCUACAAUUUAGUUUAUAGUUUUUCUCUCUUUGCUCUCUUCUUCUUCUCUCAUCUUUCUUGAAAACCUUUUGUUCCAACAAAUUGGAAUUAAGGAGUCCAGAUUACGAUUUAGAGAGAAUAUGUAAAUGCAAACGGAACAACAACAUCAACGCAAUUCCUAACAAAUCUAUCGAUUUUCAAAGGUGAGAACUAUGAACAGUGGGUUAUUCAGAUGAAGCUCAUCUUUGAUUUCAAGAUGUGGUUGAAAUCGUGAAUGAUGGAGUACCGAUAUUAGAAGCGAAUGCAGAUGAUGUUCAACAAACUGCACACAAGAAAUGAAGAAGGAAAUAUGGAAAAUGUAUGUUUUUGAUUCACCAGUGUGUGGAUUCUAAUGUGUUCGAGAAGACAAUUGAAGAAGAAACAACCAAAGGAGAGUGAGACAAGUUAAAGAACUUGUACGACAAAGAUGUAAAGCUGAAAAUGGUGAAAUUACAGACGUUGAGAAAACAACCUGAGAUGACUCAGAUGAAGGAAGAUGAGUCGGUCUCGGAAUACCUUUCACAUGUGGUGUUGUUAACGAACCAGAUGAAGUCGUGUGGUGAAUCAAUCUACGAUUCGUAGAAGAUUGAGAAAGUGUUGAGAUCUCUAACUGUGAAUUUCGAUUACAUUGUAAUGUCAAUUGAAGAGUCCAAGAACUUAGCUGAGAUGAAGUUAGAAGAACUUCAAGCUUCAUUAGAGGCUCAUGAGAUGAGACUGAAGAAGAAGAACUCAAAAAGGGAGAAGGCAACUGAACAUGCACUACAAGCAAGAUUCGUCAAGAAAUCUGGGAAAGAGAAGGUGAAACAGGGAAAAAAUCUUGCCAAUUAUGAGAAGUCAAACAAGAACUCAAAGAAUCACCAUGAUUCGAUCAAGAAAGGCAUGAACAACAAGUAUUAUGGGAAGAAAGAUGACAUGAAGGAGGUGCGGUGUUACAAUUGUCAAGGAUUUGGCCACUAUGAUUGAGAUUGUCAAAGAAAUAAAGAAGCAAGAGUAAAAGAUAGUGAUGCAGGCAAUAUACACAUGCUAGAGAUAUUGAUUCUGAUGAUGUGCUACUCAUGGCCAACACUCAGUCGAACACUGAGCAAACCAACAUGUGGUACAUAGAUUCAGGAUGUAGUAACCACAUGUCUGGUAAUAAAAACUGAUUCACCAAGCUAGAUGAAUCAGUUGAAAAAGUGCUAAAGUUUGCAGAUGGCAGACACAUCACAUCAGGUGGAAAAGGAGAUAUCUCUGUUGUCAGGAAGGAUGGUCGAAAAUCCAGCAUCACUGAUGUGUUGUAUGUACAUUCAAUGCAAGUAACUUGAUAAGUAUAGGUCAAUUACUUGCAAAAGGGUACAACAUAAAGCUAGAAAAGAAUCAUAUAAAGGUGUAUCAUGGUGAUGAAAGGUUGAUUCUGAAGGUACCAUUGGCAAACAACAAGACCUUUGAUCGGUCAACAUUUGUACUUAGUUUUCAUCAUCCAUCCAGCAUGAAUCUUCAAGAAUCGGUAACACUUUGUUCUUUCUUUUAGUUGAUUUCCUAAGUUUUAUCGCAUUUCAUAAUUUCCUUCUUGUUUUAUGUUUUAUUAGUGUUCAUCUCUUUUUUGUCGCAUUUUAUGCAUUUCCGUGGUAGUUCUAUUUGUUUCCAGGUCCAACAAUAAGCCCGAAAGAUGCGUAAGGAAGAACGAGAGUCAAAAAUGGUUUGCAAAGCGAAAUAUGCGAUAAAUAGGUGCCUGAUGUAACACCUGAGGUCGGAGAGGCCGAAGAGUGGUUACAUGUGACACCCGAGGGCGAGGGAGUGGUUGUUUAUGCAUGAGGCAUGACAAUGAGACACUCCUAGCAGCUUCUAGGGGAAAACCGAAUUCACAUCGGAAUGAGAGGGAUCCUGAGCUAUGCAGGUAUGAGACUGCAUGGUUGAAUGAAAACUUAUAAGGAUUAAUUGGUACUACCUAUACCAACAAGAUGCAUCUUCUUUUCGGUAGCCCAAUAGAUAAGAACUCCAUAGUUAAGCGUGCUUGACUUGGAGUAGUAUUGGGAUGGUGACCUUCUGGGAAGUUUCCCGGAAAGUGUGUGAGUGAGGACAAAACAUGCCGAAAAGACCCGUGUUGGUUUGUGGGUGUCGAUAAUCCUGAAAGCAGUUUGGGGUGUUACAAAUGUAUCAAAGCCAAACCUCUCCCAGUCGAUGUGGUUCGGGACGAACCAAGCGGAAGUUGGUGGCAUGUAACACCUGAGGUUGGAGAGGCCGAAGAGUGGUUACAUGGGACACCGAGGCGAGGGAGUGGUUGUUUAUGCAUGAGGCAUGACAAUGAGACACUCCUAGCAGCUUCUAGGGGAAAACCGAAUUCACAUCGGAAUGAGAGGGAUCCUGAGUCGGAAUGAGAGGGAUCCUGAGGCUAUGCAGGUAUGAGACUGCAUGGUUGAGAUGAAGGCUUAUAAGAUUAAUUGGUACUACCUAUACCAACAAGAUGCAUCUUCUCGGUAGCCUAACCAAUAAGAACUCCAUAGUUAAGCGUGCUUGACUUGGAGUAGUAUUGGGAUGGGUGACCUUCUGGGAAGUUUCUCGGAAAGUGUGUGAGUGAGGUCAAAACAUGCCGAAAAGACUCGUGUUGGUUUGUUGGUCAGUCGGUAAUCCUUAAAGCGGUUUGGGGUGUUACAAAUGGUAUCAGAGCCAAACCUCUCCCAGUACGAUGUGGUUUCGGGACGAACCAAGCGGAAGUUGGUGGCAUGUAACACCUGAGGUCGGAGAGGCCGAAGAGUGGUUACAUGUGACACCCGAGGGCGAGGGAGUGGUUGUUUAUGCAUGAGGCAUGACAAUGAGACACUCCUAGCAGCUUCUAGGGGAAAAACCGAAUUCACAUCGGAAUGAGAGGAUCCUGAGGCUAUGCAGGUAUGAGACUGCAUGGUUGAAUGAAGGCUUAUAAGGAUUAAUUGUACUACCUAUACCAACAAGAUGCAUCUUCUUUUCGGUAGCCCAAUAGAUAAGAACUCCAUAGUUAAGCGUGCUUGACUUGGAGUAGUAUUGGGAGGGUGACCUUCUGGGAAGUUUCCCGGAAAGUGUGUGAGUGAGGACAAAACAUGCCGAAAAGACCCGUGUUGGUUUGUGGGGUUAGUCGAUAAUCCUGAAAGCAGUUUGGGGUGUUACACCUGACAUGGGUGUCCGUGUCAGCUUAUGUAGAAGAUGGAAAACUUGAAGGCAAAAAUAGGGUGCUGACACGACCCGUGUCAGCCUGUGCAGAAGUGGGAAAGCAAGAAAGCAGAAAAUAAGGGGCUGACACGGGUGCCCGUGUCAGCUGACAUGGCCUGUGUCAGCAAAGUCUGAUGAAAAAAGUUAACAGGGAGCCAACAUGGACGCCCGUGUCAGCUGACACGACCCGUGUUGGCCAAUUCGCUCCUUUUGUUGAUUUUUAUUUUUCAAGUCUCUUUGUAAUUUCGGAGGGCAGCCUUGGUAUUUCACGAUGCUUUUGGAUGAUUUGGAACUAUUUAGUCUACUAUUGGUGAAGAAAAAAGGGACUUUUGGAUGGUACGAAGAAUAGACAGAAAAGAGAAGAGAGCUUUCAAGGGGUUUGGAGAAGAAUAAAUUUUCAAGAUCGGAAGAGAUUGAAGAUCAACCUUCAUCACCAAAGAAUUGUAAUGUCUCUAUUUUGUAAUUUGCUUUCUUUGAAUACUAUGAGAAGCUAAACCCCCCAAUGUUAGGGGGGUGUCCCUGAAUUGCUAAUGAAUGAACAAUAUUUCUAUGUUUUUAUGAUCAUCAACAUUGUUCUUAAUUCAAAUUAUUAUACAAAGUUCUUAAUGCUUUUUUAUGGGACAAAUAGAAUUUUGAUCUUUGGUUAGGGUUUAGGUCGGACAAACCACCUUAUCGCUUUUUGUAUAAUAAUACUUCGGUAUAAUCGCUUAUGAAUAAGGAUCAAACUGUAGUAGCCGUAAAUUCUUGUUACAAUUGCGUAUUUCUUAACGUCAUUUUGAAUAGCUAAGGAAUUGGGAUGGAAAAUGACUGUUAAUUGUUUUUUGGCUAAGGAAUUAUAGAAAACAAUUCUUGAGAAUCGGUGUUGAAUAAUUGUAACGUAGAUAUUAUAUAAUAUGGAAGUAGUGUAGUACAAAGCAAUUCAUACAUCUUGCCCUAGCAUGCUUUCUUAUAUCGAUUAAAAGACUUUUAUACGCUUUGUGUAAUUUAUUCUCGUAAUUAUCAUAUAUAAUAUGGAAGUAGUGUAGUACAAAGCAAUUCAUACAUCUUGCCCUAGCAUGCUUUCUUAUAUCGAUUAAAAGACUUUUAUACGCUUUGUGUAAUUUAUUCUCGUAAUUAUCAUUUCGAAAACUAUCAACAAAACCCCUUUGAUCUUUUGUUCAAUUGAAUUAUUGUAAAGGUUUGUACUUAAUACGCAGUCCUCGAGGUCGAUACUCGGGAUAACUCCCAUUUUAUUACUACAUCGGUGCAAAUAGUACACUUGCUAUUUUACCGAUCAACCUUCAAAGUAGAGAUCAACCCAGUUGAUCACAAAUGUCUUGCUUCGAUUGCAGAAGAAGACAAGAGUUGGCUAUGGCAUCACAUGUAUGGCCAUCUAAACUUCAGAAUUUUAGGUAUGGUUAACCAGAAGAAUAUGGUGUAUGGCUUGCCUCAGGCGAGGGAACCAAGUCAGGUAUGUGAGAAAUGUUGCAAAGCAAAGCAGGUCAGGAAAGCAUUCAAACAUGACUUGCCUAUGAGGUCGAAGGAAAAUCUGGAGCUAAUUCACUCUGAUUUGUGUGGACCAUUUGAAGUAAGGUCAAGUGGAGGUAAAUACUAUUUCCUAACUUUCAUAGAUGAAUUCACAAGAUAUAUGUGGAUUUACCUUAUUGAAAGAAAUCGUGAGGUCCACAAGGUUCAAGAAGUUAAAAUUGCACGUCGAGAAGUAAAUUGGAUGCAAGUUGAAGAAACAGAGAACUGAUGGUAAUUAUGAGUACACCUCUCGAGAAUUUGCUAGAUUUUGUAAUGAGGAAGGUAUAAAGAAUGAGGUCAUUGCACCCUAUACACCUCAACAUAAUGACAUAGUUGAGAGGAAGAAUCAAAGUAUAUUGAAGAUGACUAGGAGUAUGUUGAAAGCUAAAGAUAUGCCAAAGAGAUUUUGGGGUGAAGCAUUCGAAUUGGUUAUAAACUAUGAAAGAAGAACUCAAGGAAAUCGAGAAGAAUAAGACCUGAGAGCUUCGUCGAAGAGUUAAUCAAUAAGCCAAUUGAUGUGAAGUGGGUUUACAAGCUGAAACAUAGGCCGAAUAGUGAAAUUGUUAAGCAUAAGGAAAGACUAGUGGGAGAGGUUUUUUUUUGCAAAAACUUGGUAUUGAUUUCAAUGAAGUGUAUACACCUGUGGUGAGGCUGGAAACCAUUAGAAUUAUUGUGUCGACAACAACAUACAUGGGGUGGAAGAUACACCAGUUGGAUGUAAAAUCAACAUUUCUGAAUGGACAUUUGGAAGAAGAAGACUAUGUUAGUCAACCACCAAGAUUCGAAAUCACGGGGCAGGAGUCAAAGGUGUACAAAUUUAGGAAGGUUCUCUAUGGUUAGAAGCAAGCCCCAAGAUCUUGGAAUAAGAGUAUAAAUAACUUCCUGAUCGAAGCAGGUUUCACAAAGUAUGUCUCUAAACAUGGAGUGUAUGUCAAUAAUGUAGACAGGGUCAUUCAAAUCAUCAUAUGCAUGUAUGUAGAUGACUUAUUGAUUAUAGGUGCAGAUGAAGCAAAAAUAAGAAAAGUCAAGUCAAAGAUGAUGCAAGAGUUUGAAAUGCCCGACCUAGGGAAUUUGUCAUAUUUCUUAGGGAUGGAGUUCAAAGACACAUGUGAAGGAGUGUUCCUGCACCAAAAUAAGUAUUCCUAAGAUAUUUUGAAGAGGUUCAAGAUGAGCAACUGUAAUACAACUGCUAUGCCAUUAGAAACUGGAGAAAAGUUGAAGAAUGAGACAAAUGGUGAAUUUGUAAGUGCGAUACUAUAAAAAAAUCAUUGGAUCCUUGAGGUAUCUUUGCAAUAUCAUUCCAGAUAUUUGUCAAAGUAUCAGACUAUUGAGCAGAUUCAUGGAGAAACCUCCAGAAUGUCAUCUCAUUGCAGUCAACAGAGCGUUGAGAUACAUCAAAGAUACGAUUGAUCAUGGUGUGAUGAUGCCAAAAUGGAAGAAGACCAAACAUGUGCAGAGGUAUGUGGCUACACUGAUUUAGAUUUAAGUGGAGAUCAAGACGAGAAGAAGAGUAAUGUAGGCUACAUAUUCAUGAUUGAAGGCGCUCCAAUCUCAUGCAGCUCAAGUAAGCAAAGCAUUGUGGCUUUGUCAUCAUGUGAAGCUAAGCAUGUGGUUACAUCAUAUGCAGUAUGUCGAGCAACAUGGAUAAAGAUGUUGCUCGAAAAGCUCAAGUUAAUGUAACCUAAGAAAAUGAAGUUGUUUGUCGACAACAAGUAAGCAAUCGACCUGGAUAACCAUUCAGUGUGUCAUGGUCGAAGUAAGCUCAUAAAAAGGAGGUGUCAAGUUAAAAAAUGAAAGCUUGAACUUGAGCAUUGCAAGAUAGAAUGACAACUGAUCGAAAAAAUAACAAGUGUACUAUUUUGCCGAUGUAGUAAUAAUAGGGAAUUUUUCCAAAUAUCGAUCUCAAGGACUGCGUAGUAAUAUCUAGUUUAAAUUGUAAUUCAAUUAAACAAAAACUGAAGUUUUGGUUUGGCUUGGAAUAAAUCCUUACAAGGAGAAUUCAUUGGGAGGUUUGUCAUUGUUUUGAAAAGAGAAGCUAUGAUUUAAGUUCAAAAGUUCUUUGGAUGGGUAUGGCGUUUUUAUACUUUGAAGUGGCGGUUGCCAGUGCAAAUGGACGGGGUUUUAAAAAUGAGAUAGCUUAACUUCGUGUUUUAAAUCCUUCAAUCAUUUUUGUGGCUUUCGACCUAGACUCAAACAAGGUGGUAUGGGAAUCCCAUAAUGAGUGAGGACAUGUUAGUUUUCUAUUUGUUUGAGGAACCUUUGUUACGAUCAUUUGUAAUUGACUAUGACUAUGUGUUACUUUGUAUGACUGUGUAAUGGUUCUUUCGUUCGUCUUUAUUUUGGAUUUUCGUCUCUUUGGACAUAUUUUUUUAUUAAUCAAUUUUCUUUUUUAAUUCGCAUUAAGUUCAUUCUUGGCCUAAGGAUACCCCUUGCUUUGUCCACUUCUUAGGAUUUAACCUUGAAAAUGGGGUGGAUUAUUAUUGUUAGUGACAUUUCUUCCCACUAGUGUUAAAUCAAGAAGGGAGAUUCCUUAGCCAUCAAUUGUAACUCUGGCUUUGCUUUUCCUCUCCCAGGGAUAACAUUCGUUAAGUUUCAUUCUUUGAGGAAGUUGGUUAUGGAGAUAUAAUAAAGCAGACAUAAUAUAAAAAUGUUCAAUACUUACAAAUACAUGAUGAUUUUUUAUAUGGCUAAAUUCAUUUCAUAAAAAAGAGAAUAAACUACUUAGGAGUGGAUACCACAAACUUAGGGUUUGAACCAUCUCUAUAACUACUGACUAUCUUUAAUGAUGUAUUUCUUGUGGAUCUAUGUGCUUGCAGGUAUAACUAUUUACAACCGUUGAGAUGAUACUGAUGAUUUCUUUCAUGACAAGAUGAUGUCAACACUUUAGAAUUGUUGAUCACAACACUUUGUUUUUCUUGAAGUCUUCAUCUAUAAAUAAGAAGUAAUGACCAAAAUGUUCUAUUAACAUGAAGAUGUUUUGUGAGAUCAAGAUGAAGAAGACAACAACAAAGGUCAAAUGACAUUCAGUGAAUUCUCUAAUGAUCUUCUGUAAAGUAACCUAUGUUCAUGGUGUAUAUCAAAGAAGCUAUGUCAAGUUUAAUCAAGUUAAAAGAUCCAUGUUCUAGAUGAAUUUCUAAAUCUCUAAUGAACCAAGCAAGAGAUCUUGAAGCUUAAAGGUUAUGAAAGAGAGGAAGUGUGAAAGCUCUU